UGGUGCCCUAGUGGCUGAGCUACAGGCGCCGAGCCUAAAAGCACUGCUUUUGGGUGAAGUGGCAGCAUUUUGUGUUGUUUUACUUUAAUUGGUGGUGUAACAAGA
Molecule: small nucleolar RNA, 105 nt
Filed under: Otolemur garnettii (small-eared galago)
Lineage: Eukaryota; Metazoa; Chordata; Mammalia; Primates; Galagidae
Source: RNAcentral